RNAcentral lists this ribosomal RNA (215 nucleotides) under uncultured bacterium. RNAcentral describes it as "partial 16S ribosomal RNA". It matches the Rfam family "Bacterial small subunit ribosomal RNA", at positions 1286 to 1500 of the family's 1533-position model. The record is from RNAcentral.
UCCCAGUUCGGAUUGUAGGCUGCAACCCGCCUACAUGAAGUUGGAAUUGCUAGUAAUCGCAGAUCAGAAUGCUGCGGUGAAUACGUUCCCGGGCCUUGUACACACCGCCCGUCACACCAUGGGAGCCGGUAAUACCCGAAGUCAGUAGUCUAACCGCAAGGGGGACGCUGCCGAAGGUAGGAUUGGCGACUGGGGUGAAGUCGUAACAAGGUAGC